UGGUGAGUUUGGUGAAGAAAAGAGAAAAAAUGAGUGACACACAAGAAAAUUAAGGAUCUUUUCUAGCUUUAUAUAAACUCCAGUGAUCAUGAUUCUGUCUAGUAGGACAAGUUUUUGGCAAUGGCUGACCUUUGUGAAAUUGAUGAUCUUGCUUCUGCUAGGAUGUUCCUGAAAACCAGCUUAGAUAAUUCAAGAGCUCUCUCCUCUGCUCUACACAAAACUGGCCAAAGAUUGGAGAAGAUAAACCAAAGUUUGCCUUCCCUGAUGGAAUCUGCUGCUCCACUUUGCAAAUUUUGUGCAAUCAAAGACCAGAUUGAUCGUGCCAUUGUCCCUGCCAUGGCAGUAAUAAACGUCUGCAAUGCCAUUCAGGAGCUUGAAAGGUCAAUUCUGUCAUACCAUCCAGGCUCUGAUCUUUCUGCUUAUCUCUUGCUGGUUACAAAACUUGAACAAGCAUUAAAAUUUCUGGCUAGUAACUGUGGGCUAGCAAUUCAAUGGUUAGAGGGUAUUCUACAAUUUCUUGAAGAUAAUGUGGUUUCCAAUGAUUUUUAUUCCUUCAAAGUUAAUAUGUGUUUAAGUAUUCUGCAAAAGUUGCAAGGAACUGAAGAACAAGCUCGGCUCGGCAGAGGAAUUCUCUGUGCUGCAUUUUUUAAACUUGAAAUCGAAUUCAAGCAGCUUCUUGCAGAAAAUUGCAGUCCUGCUGCUUUCCCUUUUUUCAUUGGAAAACAAGCCUGUAUUGCUCCAUCACCCUUGCCUGCGGCUGUUAUGCAGAAGCUUCAGGCCAUUAUUGGCAGACUAAAUGGCAGCAACAGGAUUGAGAAAUGCGUAUCAGCUUUCGUGCAAGUUCGGAGUAUGAAUGCAAGAAGAAGUUUAGAAGCUCUUGAUUUGAAUUACCUUGAGAAGUCAGUAACAGAAUUUGAUGAUGUGCAGGAGAUAGAGGGCUUCAUAAAUCAAUGGUGCAAUCAUAUGGGGUCUGCUGUGAAGCAUGUUUAUGAAGUUGAAUACAUGCUCUGCAAUGAGGUUUUCGAAGAGAUUGGAUCAGAUAUUGGGAUGUAUUGUUUUGCUAAGAUUGCUACACAAUCUGGGAUUCUUUCUUUCCUCCAAUUUGGAGCAAGAGUUACAGAAUGCAAGAAAGAUCCUGUCAAGCUCUUGAAGCUAUUAGACAUGUUUGAGUGUCUUGAAAACUUGAGAGCAGAUUUCAACCGGCUUUUCAGAGGCAAAAACUGUGCCGAAAUCCAAAAGCAGACAAGGGAUCUCAUCAGGAAAGUUGUUUGUGGUGCUUGUGAGAUUUUCUGGGAAUUUCCAUUUCAAGUGGAGCAUGAAAGGGGAAGUUCUUCUCCUUCAGAUGGAAGUGUUCCAAGGCUAGUAAGCUUUGUAACGGACUACUGUAAUCUCCUUCUAGGAGAGGAUUACAAGCCAUUAUUGAUCAAGGUUCUAACAAUUCAUCAAAUCUGGAAAAAUGAAGAGUACAAAGAGACACUUGUUACAAACCAGAUACACUGCAUAAUAAAGGAAAUUGGUUUAAACUUAGAUACAUGGUCGAAAGCCUACGACGAUACAGCACUCUCCUACCUUUUCAUGAUGAAUAACCAUUUUCAUUUCUGCAAUUUGAAAGGAACAAAAGUUGGAGAAUUGAUGGGUGAUUCAUGGUUCAAAGGUCAUGAGCAGUACAAGGACUAUUUCAUGACACUUUACUUGAGAGAAACAUGGGGAAAGAUUGUUGCUCUUCUUAGCCAAGAUGAAGAAGGUUCACCUAAAAGUGAUUCUGUGAAGAAGAGACUCAAGGAGUUCAAUCAAGCAUUGGAUGAAAUGUAUGAGAAGCAAUCUAAAUGGGCUGUCCCAAGUGAGAAGCUGAGGUUAAAGAUGUGCAGGGUGGCUGUCCAGGCUUUUGUGCCUGUUUACAAGAGCUACUUGCAGAAUAUUAGCCUUUUAGAACAAGAAGGUAUGAAAUAUACAGCACAAGGAUUGGAAAGUAUGCUUAGCUCUCUGUUUCAGCCAAAGAUUAGAAUGUAUGGCACCAACAAACAAGCCCAUUGGAUUGAUGAAGUGAAAAAUAUAGAGAAAAAUCACUUUCAUCACUUGACUCUUAUGGCUGUGUAACUCUUUCUAUAUCCAUUUAUUGAUUUUUAGAAAUUCAAAUCAAUUGCAUCAAUUAUGAAUUCCAACUUGGCUUCUGAUGAGUUCAAG
Molecule: unclassified non-coding RNA, 2184 nt
Filed under: Hevea brasiliensis (rubber tree)
Lineage: Eukaryota; Viridiplantae; Streptophyta; Magnoliopsida; Malpighiales; Euphorbiaceae
Source: RNAcentral